Papaver somniferum (opium poppy) is the source of this 732-nucleotide long non-coding RNA. RefSeq lists it as uncharacterized. NCBI's taxonomy places the organism in Eukaryota, Viridiplantae, Streptophyta, Magnoliopsida, Ranunculales, Papaveraceae. The record is from RefSeq and is a predicted model, not a curated record. The transcript is spliced from 2 exons.
AAGAUCCUAGGGGUGUGUCUGCCACUUGGCUUUAUCAUCACUACUAGAUAGCUAUUCACUAAUCCUUCGCCAAAAACUUCUCUAUAUAAAGAAGUGAUUUGCAUCAAUCAAUUCCAAGUUCAGAGAUUUGAUCUUUCCUCUUUCAACACUUAUAGCGAGAGAAUGAAGUAUGUGGUGGUGUUAUUUACGGUGAUGAUGGUGAUGGAGAAUUCCUGCGUGGCUAUCCGCAAGUUGGAAGAAGAAGCAGCUGACCUUGGCAUAAAUGGAAAUGAAGUGGAGAAAAUGCAUGAAGCUGUGACGGGUGAAUUAUAUGAUCAUCAAAAAGAUAAACAGGAAGUAGUAACAACAACAACAGUGAUUAAUACUAGUGAAGAAGUGCAAGAGACGAAAAAGAACAAGGAUGUAAAAGGUUAUCAAGCAGGACAACACCAUGGAAUACCUAGACAAUAUUAUAACGACUGGGGUAGCAGUGGAAAUGAUAUCGGUGGUAGCGGGUAAUUAAUCCUUGCUUCUCAGUCGAGUUGCUGUUGCUUUAUAAAUAUAGUGCGUAGCAGUAUUGUCUAAUGGUAAGUGCUAGUGUGUAUGUUGUGCAUCACCUUCCAAAUAAAAAAAGUUGUGCACUUACGGUGCGUAAUAUUUCGGAUAUUGUAGCAUCUAUACAUGUAUGACCUAGUAGUUCUAUCUACGUGUAAAUUACGUCGUAUAUUAAUUAAUACCAUGUUUGAUUGGUGA